This 221-nucleotide unclassified non-coding RNA is filed under the name Hevea brasiliensis (rubber tree). Lineage: Eukaryota; Viridiplantae; Streptophyta; Magnoliopsida; Malpighiales; Euphorbiaceae. The record is from RNAcentral.
CUGCAAGCCCCAUCCUGCCCGCACUUCCUUCACUUCACGAUAUCACUACUGACAAAAGCCUGUCUGGUAGGAGAUAACUUUCACAUCUGUCAUCUUUUUCCUUCCAAUUCCACAAUCAUCAUAUUCCAAUGGCACCACAACCUGUAAUUAUAAAAUACUCAAGAACUCCUUUUGAUUUGAUGCUUAUAGGCAAAAGAAGCAUUGCCUGCUGCAUGUUCUAG